Long non-coding RNA from Equus caballus (horse), 2606 nucleotides. NCBI's taxonomy places the organism in Eukaryota, Metazoa, Chordata, Mammalia, Perissodactyla, Equidae. The record is from Ensembl.
CCAAGGUGGACAUCAUGUGUUAGUUACCUAAUGGUGAGAAACAAAUGACCACAACACUCACUGGCUGAAAAUAACAAACACUGAUUAUCUCACAAUUUCCGAGGGUCAGGAUCUUGGGAGUGGCGUAGCUGGGUGGUUCUGGCUCGGAGUCUCUCAUGAGAUUUUAGACAAGACAUUGGCCGGCAUCUGAAGUCUGGACUAGGGCUGGAAGAGCCACUUCCCAGACGGCUCACUCACACGGCUGUGGGCAAAGGCCUUCAUUUCCUCUCCGGCUGCUGGCAGGAUGGCUCGGUUCCUCACCACGUGGACCUUUCUGUAGGGAGGCUUGAAUGUCCUCUGACACGGCAGCCCGCUUCUCCGAGAGCAAGUCACCCAAGAGAGGGCAAGAUGGAAGCCACAAUGCCUUUAAGACCUGCCCUCAAAGUCCCGCUCUGUGUUUUCUACCCCAUUCUAUCCGUUAGAAGGAGUCGCUAAAUCCAGCCCACGCACAAGGAGAGGGGAAUUCGAGUCCGUCUGUGGAGGGAGCAGUGUCAAAUUUGUGGGCAUAUUUGUGGACACCACAGCGGGUUUGACUGGAUCCAGGGAUGAAAACGAGCUCUGGCAUUCUCUCUCAAUCUCCCUCUCUCUCCUGCUUCCUUUUCUGCUUCAGCUCCUCCAGCUAAUGAUCUCUCCACAUUGGCGGCAGGAGGAGACGAUGGUUUCUGGCAGCCCCUGGUGUACAUUAUUUCAACUCCCUGACCAACAAGCACUUACCGGUUAUGCUCUCCUGCAUGAGCACCAAGGACCUGGCCACGUGAGUGUGACCAUCAGACCCCGGCAGGGGUCAACACCGGUCAUAGGCCUGCAGAGCUGGGCCGAAGAGCAACGCCGAUCACAGCAGGAACAGCAGUUUUAGAAGCUCCAGGCGCUAAGUGUUCUACACGUGUUAUCUUCCUUGACUCUCCGAGCAGCUCUGGAAGGUAGGUACCAUUACUGUCAUCAUUUUGCAGCUGAGCAAACUGAGGCUCAAAGACGUUGAGUAAAUCGCUCCAGGUCACAACUGAGAAAGCGGUGGUUUUGAACGUGGGUGAUGUGGCUUCUACUCUCCGCUCUCUCUGCUCUGCUGUGUGGACUUUCAUGAACACGCCGCGACCCAAGCCAAGACCAGGAGCCUCUGGGUGGGCGGCCCGGGCAUCUCCGUGUACUCUGUGGAGCUGGCAGCUGAGAACCUUCACCUUUUCUCUUAAAGGAAGCACUUUACGGCUGCCCUUUGGCACAUCUGAAUUGCCAGCAUCACUACUCUUGUGCUUUCGGGCCAUUAUUAAGUCAAGUAAGGGUGACUUGAACACAAGCACUGCGAUACUGUGACCAGUGAUCUGACACCCGCGAGGACCACUGCGUGACUAGCAAGCGGACAGCGUGUACAGUGUGGAUACACUGGACGAACGAUGAUUCACGUCCCAGGUGCUUGUGCAUUUCGAGAAGGGGCUCUGACAACAUCCCUGAGUAGAAUCCUGAAAACGUCCAAUCCAAGCGUGGUCCUUAGGAAUGCCGUUUUCCAGGAUUUCCAGUUCUCUGCCUUCAGGGGCAUGGUGGGGUUGCACCGCACCUGCCUCUCUGAGGUCAGGUGUGGCCAUGAGCAUUUGCCAGGGGAAUCUGAGUGGAGGUGACAUGUCUCACUUCUGGGGUAAGCCAUGCUCACUCUGCCUCGGUGCCCAGAGAGGCUGCAGUGGCGCAUGCUCUGUCAACCGUGUCUCAGAGCAGCCAAGCGCUGGCUGACCUAUGAUAGGCAUGCAGUGAGAGAGAGGUACACUCUUCUUAGUGUGAGCCGUUGAUUUUAGGGUGGGUAGUUACUAGAUCAUAAUCUGGUGUGUCAUGGCUGAUGCUUCAAGUCUCUGUUCAACCCAAAGAGCCCCGUCCCUCUGUUGAAGGACUUCCCCUGGGUCUCUACCUGGGGUUGAUCUAAGGGACAGGUUUGGAGACCACUGCAGCUGGAUUUGGAAGGGACCCAUUGCUGACCUCAAAGUCACAUUGACCAAAGUAUAUUAAAAAUGGAAAAUUGAAAUUCGGAGAGUAAUGGCACUUGAUAGAUGCAUGGAGAUUUAAUUUUUCAAAGACUUUCCACAUCUAUCAAAAUUUUUCCCCAGAAUAACAACAAAAACAAUACGUGACAGAUUCCAUUUCCCAAUGUCUACCGUCUCAUUUGCUCUUCUGCAAUGCGACCUUGCCAUCCUCCAUCAAGAGGUGAAGUUGAUGUCUCAAUCCUUGAUUCUAGGCUGGACUGGGACUCCUUUGACCAGUAGAAUAAAUCCGGCAGAAGUUAUGCUGUGGUGGUUCUGGGAGUAGCUCUGAACUGGCUGGAAGCUUCUGCUUCCUGCCUGCCUUAUUCAGGCUCUGGGAUGAGACACCAUGUGGAGAGAGAGAGAGAGACAGAGAGAGACAGAGAGAGAGAGAGAAGGAGAGAGAUAGCAAGAAGUAUCGUUGUGCCAAAUGUGCAAGUGAAGAGGCAUACUGGGAAACGGAAUCUCGAGCCCCAGAGGCCCAGGGCUAAGAUGAACGACCCAGCUGGGUCCUUCCCCAAAUCCUUGACCCACACAAUCAUGAGUGAAAUAGAUGGUUGGUUGUAG